GCAGUCUGCAACUCGAGUGCAUGAAGCUGGAAUCGCUAGUAAUCGCGGAUCAGAAUGCCGCGGUGAAUACGUUCCCGGGUCUUGUACACACCGCCCGUCACACCAUGGGAGUCGGGAAUGCCCGAAGCCGGUGGCCCAAUCGUAAGAAGGGAGCCGUCGAAGGCAGGCCGGAUGACUGGGGUGAAGUCGUAACAAGGUACC
Molecule: ribosomal RNA, 201 nt
Filed under: uncultured bacterium
Lineage: Bacteria
Description: partial 16S ribosomal RNA
Rfam family: Bacterial small subunit ribosomal RNA
Source: RNAcentral